GAUGAACGCUGGCGGCGUGCCUAAUACAUGCAAGUCGAGCGAACAGACGAUGAGCUUGCUCCUCUGACGUUAGCGGCGGACGGGUGAGUAACACGUGGAUAACCUACCUAUAUUACGGGGAUAACUUCGGGAAGCCGGAGCUAAUACUGGAUAAUAUAUUGAACCGCAUGGUGCAAUAGUGAAAGACGGCUUUGCCGUCACUUUUAGAUGGAUCCGCGCCGCAUUAGCUAGUUGGUAAGGUAACGGCUUACCAAGGCAACGAUGCGUAGCCGACCUGAGAGGAUGAUCGGCCACACUGGAACUGAGACACGGUCCAGACUCCUACGGGAGGCAGCAGUAGGGAAUCUUCCGCAAUGGGCGCAAGCCUGACGGAGCAACGCCGCGUGAGUGAUGAAGGUCUUCGGAUCGUAAAGCUCUGUUAUUAGGAAAGAACAACUGUGGAAGUAACUCUGGACGUCUUGACGGUACCCAAUGAGAAAGCCCCGGCUAACUACGUG
RNAcentral lists this ribosomal RNA (497 nucleotides) under uncultured bacterium. RNAcentral describes it as "partial 16S ribosomal RNA". It matches the Rfam family "Bacterial small subunit ribosomal RNA", at positions 28 to 507 of the family's 1533-position model. The record is from RNAcentral.